GAGACCAACAUGGAAGAGCAUAAGAAGACAGCGGAAACCGGCAAAGCAGAGCCUGCUCCGGUAGCCAUUGCAGGAGAAGGAGCAAUAUCCUGUGCCAUGGUCCCGGACACAACAAACAUGGCCACAGCAAAUAUUGCCAACACAAUGUGAGCUGCAGAGGUCCCAAUCCGAGCCAUUGGCACUAAUUACAACACUAUUCACCCACUUACGAGACCCAGAGACGAGAGAGAUGGGGAAAUUGAGAAUAGAAAGGUUGUUU
This 259-nucleotide long non-coding RNA is filed under the name Gossypium barbadense (sea-island cotton). Its description in RNAcentral is "long non-coding RNA (GBAR_LNC008433)". The record is from RNAcentral. Lineage: Eukaryota; Viridiplantae; Streptophyta; Magnoliopsida; Malvales; Malvaceae.